Long non-coding RNA from Phyllopteryx taeniolatus (common seadragon), 1084 nucleotides. RefSeq lists it as uncharacterized. The record is from RefSeq and is a predicted model, not a curated record. The transcript has 4 exons. NCBI's taxonomy places the organism in Eukaryota, Metazoa, Chordata, Actinopteri, Syngnathiformes, Syngnathidae.
GGACAUCCGGGGACUGUAAGGAAUAGCAAUCGAUCAUCAUUUUAACAUGCUGUAGUCAUGCUACAUUCAAUGGACUCCGGAAAGUCGACUCAGCUACAGUGCUGGGAGGACACCCAUCUGGCGGGUCUUCAAGGUGCCGAGGAUGGCUCACUCAUUAGCUGUAUGUGAUAAGUUAACUGCGUGUCACUCUGAACGUCAGUUGCAUCCCGACUUGACUCUUGGAGAGAGAAGACUCAGGCUUCAUCCAUCCGUCCAUUUUCUAGACCGGUUAUUAGGGUCGCAGCAUUUCCUGCCAACACGCAGCUUACACAGAGGAAAAGCGGACGUGGCUGAGGACAGGGGAAGGGUGCAUGAAGUAGGACGCUAAAGCCACGCCCCCAGUAGGUAAAUAGCGCCAGAGUGUUUUUUUUUUUUUUUUUUUUUUUACCGCUUGACUGACUGGGAGCAUUUCCGGGGUGUGCAUUGUGCAAAACAACAUCGGUUUGGCUAAGGACUCCCGAAAAUGUCACCUACGAAGAGACACGCUUACGAAGUGGUAUUAAUUUAAAUGGUAAAUGGAGUGCACUUAUAUAGCGCUUUAUCUACACAUCACAGUUCCCAAAUCACUUUACAUUCACACACACAUUAAUACAACAAUGGGCCGCUGCCGCCAUGCAAGGCACUGCCAGGCCCACUGGGAGCAAUUUAGGGUUCAGUGUCUUGCCCUAGGACACUUUGACAGCAGACAGUAUUCGAACCGGAGACCCUUAAGUCACUUGAUGAUCUGCUCUACUGAGCCACAACCGCACAACGGCAGACUAUGUUUGUUUAUUCUUGUGAUUUAGAUGAAGAUCAGACCACAUUAUGUGACCAAUUUAUGCAAAAAUUUAAGACAUUCUAAAGGAUUCACUUACUUUUUCCUCCAUUGUACAUGGAACUUGAAUUGGAUCAAGGAUAGUGAAUAAAUGCUCAAAUGGCUUUCCAUAAAUUUACAUGGCAUUAGUGUGGUAAAUACAGUAUGUAUUUACCACUUACCACACACAGUAUGUAUUUACCACACAUUAUGUACAGCCAUAUUUGUGGAAUGCAUGUUUUCUCAAUUGCU